This 103-nucleotide microRNA precursor is filed under the name Marmota monax (woodchuck). The record is from RNAcentral. Lineage: Eukaryota; Metazoa; Chordata; Mammalia; Rodentia; Sciuridae.
AGUGGGAUAGAUGGGUCAAAUGGUAGUUCUAUUCCCAAUUUUCUGAGGAAUCUCCAUAUUGCUUUCCAUAGUGGUUGCUCCAAUUUGCAGUCCCACCAGCAAU